Molecule: transfer-messenger RNA, 365 nt
Filed under: bacterium
Lineage: Bacteria
Also listed under: 1 other name
Description: DRLW01 sp011375275 Standard tmRNA
Rfam family: transfer-messenger RNA
About the family: Bacterial tmRNA, also known as 10Sa RNA or SsrA, is named for its dual tRNA and mRNA-like properties. Its role is to liberate the mRNA from a stalled ribosome.
Source: RNAcentral
GGGGACGACAUGGCUUCGACGGAGGAAUGAGCGCCGUGGAUUGCAUGCCGAGGUCCGUAAGGCUCCUCGUAAAAAAGCGUUACACUAAACACAAAUGCAGAUGAUUAUGCAUACGCAAUGGCUGCCUAAGUAAUUAGUGCAACCACAUCCUGAGUGACCGGUGCCAUCCUGGUUGCUCCGGAUGACGACAAUGAUGGCUGGCCUGCUCUGUUGGUCUGGACGGAACAGGCGAGACCUUACAGACUGGCUGCCGGACGGCUCUGUUCCUCGUGCCCACGGCAGUGAGAUCAAACGACGAACUAAGCAUGUAGAUGUCCUCGGGACUUGUCCUUCGGACGCGGGUUCGAUUCCCGCCGUCUCCACUA